UCCCUGGUGGUCUAAUGGCUAGAACUCCGUACUCCCAAUGCAGGGAGUCCAGGUUCAAUCCCUGGUCAGGGAA
Molecule: transfer RNA, 73 nt
Filed under: Bos taurus (domestic cattle)
Lineage: Eukaryota; Metazoa; Chordata; Mammalia; Artiodactyla; Bovidae
Also listed under: 2 other names
Rfam family: tRNA
About the family: Transfer RNA (tRNA) molecules are approximately 80 nucleotides in length.
Source: Rfam by way of RNAcentral